This 440-nucleotide ribosomal RNA is filed under the name uncultured bacterium. RNAcentral describes it as "partial 16S ribosomal RNA". It matches the Rfam family "Bacterial small subunit ribosomal RNA", at positions 338 to 795 of the family's 1533-position model. The record is from RNAcentral.
CCUACGGGAGGCAGCAGUGGGGAAUAUUGCACAAUGGGGGAAACCCUGAUGCAGCGACGCCGCGUGAGUGAAGAAGUAAUUCGGUAUGUAAAGCUCUAUCAGCAGGGAAGAAAAUGACGGUACCUGAAAAAGAAGCACCGGUGAACUACGUGCCAGCAGCGGCGGUAAUACGUAGGGGGCAAGCGUGAUCCGGAUUUACGGGGUGUAAAGGGAGCGUAGACGGCAGUGCAAGUCUGGAGUGAAAGGCGGGGGCUCAACCCCCGGACUGCUUUGGAAACUGUUCGGCUGGAGUGCAGGAGAGGUAAGUGGAAUUCCUAGUGUAGCGGUGAAAUGCGUAGAUAUUAGGAGGAACACCAGUGGCGAAGGCGGCUUACUGGACUGUAACUGACGUUGAGGCUCGAAAGCGUGGGGAGCAAACAGGAUUAGAUACCCGUGUAGUC